AGUACAUGGUGUGAACAUAUUCUCAUUAACUCUUUGAACCACUUCCAUGCUUCGAAUAACAAUUCUCCUUCCUCUGCAUAAAGCAGGUAAUCUAGUUCUUAAGUU
Molecule: small nucleolar RNA, 105 nt
Organism: Lathyrus oleraceus (garden pea)
Lineage: Eukaryota; Viridiplantae; Streptophyta; Magnoliopsida; Fabales; Fabaceae
Source: RefSeq, a predicted model, not a curated record